UCUAUUAUGGCAGAAAAUUUAUGCAAUGAACUUAAAAUUCAUAUAUAAAGAUUAAUCUUUUUUUAGAA
RNAcentral lists this transfer RNA (68 nucleotides) under Eriosoma lanigerum (woolly apple aphid). RNAcentral's name for it is "transfer RNA leucine". It matches the Rfam family "tRNA". From Rfam's summary of the family: Transfer RNA (tRNA) molecules are approximately 80 nucleotides in length. Their secondary structure includes four short double-helical elements and three loops (D, anti-codon, and T loops). The record is from RNAcentral. Lineage: Eukaryota; Metazoa; Arthropoda; Insecta; Hemiptera; Aphididae.